RNAcentral lists this non-coding RNA (46 nucleotides) under Schistosoma margrebowiei. Lineage: Eukaryota; Metazoa; Platyhelminthes; Trematoda; Strigeidida; Schistosomatidae. The record is from RNAcentral.
GAAUUGCUGAGGAGUCCCACAAUAAGAUUAAACGGCCGUCCAGUGC